AGUGAACGCUGGCGGCAGGCCUAACACAUGCAAGUCGAACGAACCUUUCGGGGUUAGUGGCGGACGGGUGAGUAACACGUGGGAACGUGCCUUUAGGUUCGGAAUAACUCAGGGAAACUUGUGCUAAUACCGAAUGUGCCCUUCGGGGGAAAGAUUUAUCGCCUUUCGAGCGGCCCGCGUCUGAUUAGCUAGUUGGUUGAGGUAAUGGCUCACCAAGGCGACGAUCAGUAGCUGGUCUGAGAGGAUGAUCAGCCACAUUGGGACUGAGACACGGCCCAAACUCCUACGGGAGGCAGCAGUGGGGAAUCUUGCGCAAUGGGCGAAAGCCUGACGCAGCCAUGCCGCGUGAAUGAUGAAGGUCUUAGGAUUGUAAAAUUCUUUCACCGGGGACGAUAAUGACGGUACCCGGAGAAGAAGCCCCGGCUAACUUCGUG
RNAcentral lists this ribosomal RNA (434 nucleotides) under uncultured bacterium. RNAcentral describes it as "partial 16S ribosomal RNA". It matches the Rfam family "Bacterial small subunit ribosomal RNA", at positions 29 to 507 of the family's 1533-position model. The record is from RNAcentral.